Molecule: ribosomal RNA, 253 nt
Filed under: uncultured bacterium
Lineage: Bacteria
Description: partial 16S ribosomal RNA
Rfam family: Bacterial small subunit ribosomal RNA
Source: RNAcentral
UACGUAGGGGGCUAGCGUUGUCCGGAUUUAUUGGGCGUAAAGAGCGUGUAGGCGGCCAGGUAGGUCCGGUGUGAAAACUCGAGGCUUAACCUCGAGAUGUCAUCGGAAACCAUCUGGCUAGAGUCCGGAAGAGGAAAGUGGAAUUCCUGGUGUAGCGGUGAAAUGCGCAGAUAUCAGGAAGAACACCAAUGGCGAAAGCAGCUUUCUGGGACGGUACUGACGCUGAGACGCGAAAGCGUGGGGAGCGAACCGG